UUGGAGUCAUAGUUUUUCUCGGUUAAUUUUGCUUCUUCCUCCGUUUAGAGUUUUCAUGGUUUUGGAGUCAUGUUUGCAGUUAUGCAAAUACAUUUUCUUAGUUCGUGGGAAAAAAGUUUAAUAUGAGACACAACCUAUAGCAAAGAAGUCUUUUUUUUUUUCCCUCCUUUUUCUUCUUCUGAUGAGUUCCCUCUUUUGCAGCUUCAGUUCAGUUGGUUGACUAGCACAGUUGGUUGGUGAGAGAAACAUUGGAAAAGGUCAAUACUCUCAGGAUAAUUUCUCUUUGAAUACUAAAGACUCUUCCAGUGGUUACUGAAAGUCCAGCUGAUCAACUGUUUAAGUUAGGAUGAAAGAGGCGAAUGCGAAGAUGGUACAAGUAUAAUCGGAGUGUCGCGGCAUUUAACAAGCAAUAAUUCUACUCAACUUGCAGAAAUCGAUGAAAUGAGAGGAGAGAAGAGAUACAAGUAAUGCUGUGGCAGAGUGGCUAACACAGUUUCUAAGGUGUCUCUGAAAUUCAUUUACUUGACUCUUAGGGCAGCUGCUACAACAUUUCUAUUCGUUUACGUUAGCAUUCCCUGCUCCCUGCAACACUUGAUGUUGUCAUUGAAUGUUAUGAUAGGAUGUUAUUGUAAACUGCGAUAAUGUAAACCAAACAAUUUUAUAGAGAAGAAAAUUUGUCUCUUCUUUUAUCAUUGUGAUCAAGA
This 704-nucleotide long non-coding RNA is filed under the name Rosa chinensis. Its description in RNAcentral is "sRNA RchiOBHm_Chr1g0375341". Lineage: Eukaryota; Viridiplantae; Streptophyta; Magnoliopsida; Rosales; Rosaceae. The record is from RNAcentral.